Long non-coding RNA from Eurytemora carolleeae, 1349 nucleotides. RefSeq lists it as uncharacterized. NCBI's taxonomy places the organism in Eukaryota, Metazoa, Arthropoda, Copepoda, Calanoida, Temoridae. The record is from RefSeq and is a predicted model, not a curated record. The transcript is spliced from 3 exons.
AUUAAGAUUUAAGUGAUUCCAACUCCUCCAACAGCAGAAAAUGGUCCAAGGUAUCCAGUACUGCUCUUCCAGAUAUACAAACACUUAUGAUGGGAGAUAUAAUUGAAGAAGAAAAACAAUCUGAGGAAUAAAGAAUUCUAAGUUUACGUUUUGGCGAAUGUUUGCAGUUUUUGCAAAUUCAAACCUGUGCAAGUUUUGCCAAAUCAAAUCUGUUUCAGGAAAAAUCAAAAAUUUGAAUAUUAAGUAUAAAUAUCAAAUACAUUUUGUCUCAAUUAAGUUUUGUGAAAAUAUUGGAAAUAUAAUGAUCUGCAUUUUCGUUAUUCCUAGGAUUUCAAAAAUAAAGUUUGCGCGUUUUGAUGAAGCUUCACAACUAUUGAGAGGAAAAAUAUUUGUCCAAAUGUCAAUAUGUAUUUACAAAUAAAAGGAAAAUUGUCAAAAUUACAAUUUAUAUGUUUUUUAAGAUUUUAAGACAAACCUAAAAUCAAGAUUAACAUUAGAUUUCCUUGUUCAUUUAUUACGGGAUAAAAAUGUACGCGGUGUCCCACGAAACAUGACAGAUGUUGAACAGUUUAGAAUGUCUUCUUCACCAAUUUGUUAAGUUGUUUGAUACCCAAAAGACUAAUAAAAUCUUAUGGGAGGCAUACUAUAUUAAAAUUGAUUUCAAAGUAAAAUAUAUUUUAGCAAAAGAUUUUUUUUUAACGAAAUAAACUGCAAAAAGACAUUUAAAACUAUAAACCAACGGUCAUGUUUCGUGGGACACCCUGUAUUUGAUUUAAAAAGUAUAAGGUAAAAACGUAUUUUAUCCUACGCCGAUUAGACUAUUGUGUUUCUUAGAUUUUUUGUUAUAAUAUUAGAGUUCAGCAUUAUGCGUAUUGGGAACUUUUGACGUUAUAAAUUGUGUACAUUUUUUUAUGAAAAAUUGAAUGGAGUACUCGCCUCAAACCAUGAUUUUUGCAACAUGAAAUUGUAUGCUGUUUGAUAUUUCCAAAUAUCAAUGAUAACCUAACUGAUUGGCCCAAAAAGGUUCCUUUGCUUUUUUAUUAAAAAUGCUUGUUAAAGGUAUCUGUAAAACCAGAAUGAAUUUGCUUAUUUAUUUCAAGAAAAAAAUGUAUUAAUUCUCAAAAGCAUGAUAUGUAAAUGUGAUGUUAUAGUAUAUUGUGUCUAUAUAAAGGUUGAACUUGGGCUGAACUCUUUAAAACCAUUAUAUCACAAAAGUAUUUAUCCAUGUAAAUGUGUAUAUAAUUAUAUUUCACAUAUAUAUAAAUGUGUAAAAUGAAUUAGAUGUCUUUGUUUGAUAUUGCUAUCCAAAUUAAGAACCCAUCUGUAAAUAAAGCUCAAUUGCUUAUAUU